Molecule: ribosomal RNA, 774 nt
Filed under: uncultured Neocallimastigales
Lineage: Eukaryota; Fungi; Neocallimastigomycota; Neocallimastigomycetes; Neocallimastigales
Description: partial large subunit ribosomal RNA
Rfam family: Eukaryotic large subunit ribosomal RNA
Source: RNAcentral
UAUGUGAUCGUCUCUCGCAUAUCAAUAAGCGGAGGAAAAGAAACUAACAAGGAUUCCCCUAGUAACGGCGAGUGAAGCGGGAAGAGCUCAAAUUUGAAAUCUUAAAGGGUUUCCCUUUACGAAUUGUAGUUUAAAGAAGUGUUUUCUGUUGAGGUUUUGGUAAAAGUUCUUUGGAAUAGGACAUCAUAGAGGGUGAGAAUCCCGUAUUUGACCUUUACUUUCAACUUUGUGAUACACUUUCAAAGAGUCGGAUUGUUUGGGAAUGCAGUCCAAAAUGGGUGGUAAAUUUCAUCUAAAGCUAAAUAUUGGCGAGAGACCGAUAGCGAACAAGUACCGUGAGGGAAAGAUGAAAAGAACUUUGAAAAGAGAGUUAAACAGUACGUGAAAUUGUCAAAAGGGAAGCGUUUGACACCAGUGUUGUUUUUCUGAAAAUCAAUUAAAGAACUGUUUAUGCUAAGCUGUUUAGACUUUAUCAGCUAUCUGUUUAGUUUUGAGCUUUUCUUUAAUGCACUUUUCAGUUAACAAGUCAACAUCAAUUUCUUUUGCUGUAAAAAAGCUUGAGGAAGGUGGCUUGAGAUUCGUCUUAAGUGUUUAUAGCCUCUUGCCUAUGCAGUCGGAGAGAUUGAGGUCUGCAGCGUAGAUCCUUCGGGGCUAAAUGCAUUUGUGCUAAGUUAUAACAUUUUAUAGACAACUUGUUGACUAUGAUUUGUCUUGUAGCUUACUCGCUUAUGUUAUUUUACCUACGCUUAGGAUGUUGAGUAGCGACAUACGCAC